This is an RNA transcript of Bacillus rossius redtenbacheri, 5108 nucleotides long. It is a transcript of the gene named glycerol-3-phosphate phosphatase-like, with no coding region annotated. The transcript is spliced from 2 exons. The record is from RefSeq and is a predicted model, not a curated record. Lineage: Eukaryota; Metazoa; Arthropoda; Insecta; Phasmatodea; Bacillidae.
UCGAUGGCUGACUGUUUUCCUUUCUUCAUGUCACUUAGAUUUAUAUUUAAGUGUUUAAGUGAUUUGUGUAAAAAAAAUUAAUUUGAAUCAUGCAUGGACAGGGUGUCUAGCGACCGGGAAAACCGGGAAAACCGGGAAUUGUCAGGGAAUUUUGAGUGUCAGGGAAAUGUCAGGGAAAAGUCAGGGAAUUUUUAAAAAACACCUGGAAUUUUUUUUUGCUGUAGCUUUAAAAUAGUUUAGGUAUCUCACGGAAGAUUAGUUUUAAACAUUUCUGCUGUCACGGUAAUUUACUUAUAAUUAUUGACAUUUCGGAGAAACUACACUUUUCAAAGUAGCUUUGUUUUACGUUGGAUGUUACCGUCUGCAAAACAGUUGUUUUCUUUUUCGAUAACAUCGAGGUUAGACUUCUAAGAUAGAUCGCAAUAUAGUUUAUAUCGAUUUAUCGACUGCGUGUUAUACCUUCUACAUCUCGGCAGUGUUGCCAGACGUACGAGAAUUCUCGCAUUUGUACGAGCAUUUAGAACCUGUGUACGUUGUACGAGGUAAAGUUGGAUCUCGUACGCUUUUGUACGAGAAUUUUGAAGAUCACUUUCACUGUUGGUUUUUUACCCGGGUUCUAGUAAGAUAUAUUAAUUUAAUUGUAUCGUUUUGUCAAAACAAGUAUAUAACAUUUCUUUUGUAACAAUACCAUUAAGUGAAGUUCCUGCCCGACAGCGUUGACUUUUUUUUUGGCUGGAAACAGGCGAUGCUGACUAAAAAAUUGUGUUUGUUUUUUAUUAGCAGGUGCCAACCAUUUGUCUAGCACAGGAAAUGAUGACCCAGAGUCAGAAUAAUGUUAAAUGCACAACCCCUAACUCACAAUUUAGAGUAUUUUUGUAUUUUAAAUUAACUAAAAUAAAAAAAACUGGAUAUUUUUUACGAAAAAAAUAAUGCAAAAAGAGUGAAUGGCAGGAAUAAUUGUAUUGUUGUGAAAAUUGUUGUGAAAAUUGUUUUACUUAUGUAAUCAUAGGAUUGUGAAAAUUGUUUAGUUUAGAUUUGUUAGGCUUGUAGCUCAAAUGUCAAGUAUAUAAAAAUAUUGUAGAAACACAUUUAAACUUUUGCUUUUACAGUACUAUUGUGUUUGCUUUUACAGUACCAUUGUGUACGAGAUUUUUUGUGUCUCAUACGAGAAUUUUCGUUCCUUGGUACGAGACAUUGACAUUUACAAUCUGGCAACACUGCAUCUCGGUUUGUUUUCGGUUGUUUUGGUCGUUUCCUGGCUAGCCAAGCCACGCCGUCACAAUUUUUAGCUUGCAUUUAUUGUACUUGUUUCUUUCGUUUUAUUUAUUGUGGUUAUUUAUUUUGGUGAAUUGAGGUUACGUACUUAUAGUCAUGCAUUGAUAAUUAUCUUGUUACUUUCUAUCUAGGCGGCAACUACAACCCAGUGCGUUAAAAUGCUACGGUUUUUCUCCAUGCUUUCGGUCUUAAAAAUGAUUUCGUAAAUUUUUUUUGUUAUUGUUUAUAUCUCUUUUUAUUCGUGUUAUAAACCUGGAUCGUUACGGAGGCCUAAUGGUAGUUGAUUAUACUUAGUUUCUCGACGAUCUGCUUUGUUUAUUUAACAGGUAAGUGAGCAUUAUCUGUAUUUCUGUAUGUGUGUGAUUUCACAGAACCUUUUCAAUUAAUUAGGUUAUGAAGUAAAUACCAGUAGUUAUAAUAAUCACGUCAGUAUGACGUCGUUUUAAUCUUUUUAGGUUAUGAAUGCAAUUAUUUUUUUGUUUGUAAACAGUUAUUUUGCAUGAUGGCCUACUGGAUUAUGUUUAACUGGAGAUCAAAUUAUUUUUAAACCGUGAGAAUGGGUGGGUUUUUCCAAAAGUGAACAUUUUUUUAUAACUUACCUAUUGUUCUUAGAACAACACAUAACCUAACAUACUUAAAUGAUAUUGCAAAGUACCAUCAGGUAAAAAAUGAAACCUUAUUUAAAUUAACUGUAGGCUAUUUUGGACUGUAAUUAUCAACAAAGAACUUUUUUUUUGCUGUGAAGGUACAAACCUUUUUUAAAUUAUAGCUGUGAUUAAGUUUGUGAUGCAGGCUGCCUGUGAAUAUACACUUGAUACAGGAAUAAUAUAUAACUUUUAAUAAGGUUAUGUUAAUUCAGCUGUUACACUCAUGAAGUAGGCACUAACCAGUAAGGAUGUAGUAUGUUGAUAAGAUUGCAGAUAUUUGAUAGGGUUUUGGUUACUCUGUAUCAACUCAAAAUGUACUUUCUGUAUGUAAGCUGUAAUUUUUAGAAAAAGUAUUCAUUUUUAACAUCUGUGUUUGUUCCCAGCUCAAGGUGUCAUGCCGCCUUCAAAAUUUAGAAAAACGGUAUUCAGAGCUGAAUGGAGCCAGGACCCAAUGUAUGCGUGGGUGAAGGGUAUUGAAAGAAAUCCCUAUUCUGCAUGGUGUGAUGUGUGCAAGCAAAAGUUUGAGCUUAGCAACAUGGGGAAACAAGCUCUCACAAGUCAUGCGUCUGGGGCUAAGCAUAGAAAAAGAUUACAGGCAGCCAGUAAAUCGGUCCCAAUUACAAUUUUUUGCAAGACAGGGCUAUCAAAAACAACUUCGCAAGUAAAGUCAACAGAUGUACCUGAAGUAUCAUCAGAAUCUAUUCAGAAUUCAUCAGUUUCUGAGGGUUCAAAGUUAUCACCAUCACCUAAUGUACCGAAGUUGUUAGAAAAUGCAGUUGCUGGCUCAGCGUGCUCAUGUAUUUGCACAUGCAUAUCUGUAGAAAAGAAAUCAAAGUUAUUGAAAACAUAUUUGUUGAAUGAUGAUGUGACAAGAGCAGAGGUCAUGUGGUGUUUGUUUUGUGUAACAUCACAUAACUCGUUACGGAAUGCUGAAAGUAGUGUUUCAAUCCAGCGCAAGAUGUACCCUGACAGCAAUAUUGCAGCAAAAAUGAAAUUGAGCAAAGCAAAAGUAUCUUACACUAUUGUUCAUGGCUUGGCGCCACAACUCGAGCGAGAUCUAAAAGCUGCUAUAUCAAAUUGUUCACAUAUUGUCAUCGGUUUUGAUGAAAGUUUAAAUAAGGUUGUGCAAAAACAGCAGAUGGAUUUAAUGGUGCGGUAUUGGGACGAUGUCAAGAAUGUGACUUGUACUCGCUACUUAACCUCUGUUUUCUUGGGUCACUCAACUGCAGCAGAUUUACUUUAUGCAUUCAAAAGUGCGUUAACUUCUGCUCUUUUACACAAGAUACUUCAAGUGUCUAUGGAUGGUCCGAAUGUGAACUUACGCUUUUUAAAAGAUCUAAGAGAAGAUUUAAAAGAAGGCCGUCCACAUGAAGGUGUAAUUUUGGAUAUUGGCACUUGUGGUCUGCAUUCAUUGCACUGUGCUUUCAAGACAGCAAUGAAAGGAACAGAAUGGGAAAUUAUUCCAUUUUUACGUGCAAUUCACAAUCUUUUUUACAAUAUCCCUAGUCGUCGUGCAGAUUUUAUCCGCAUAACAGGAUCAGAUUUGUUUCCUUUGAAAUUUUGUGCAGUUCGUUGGUUAGAUAAUGUGUGUGUAGCAAACAGAGCCUUGAAAUUACUGCCCUAUUUGCUCAAAUACAUUCAGUCACUUUGUUCAAAGUCUGAACCAAAGUGUGCAAGCUUUAUGGUAGUUAAGAAUGCUCUUCGUGAUAAAUUGCUUGGUCCUAAACUUGCAUUUUUUUCAUCUGUGGCAUCUGAAAUUGAACCUUUUCUGAAAGAAUUUCAGACCGAUAAACCAAUGGCUCCUUUUCUUUAUUCAGAUUUUUGUGCUGUUGUUAAAAAUCUUAUGAUAAGGUUUGUCAAACCUGAAGUAAUUGAAUCAAAACCCUUGUCCGCCAUUGAUUUAUCAGGAACAAAUCUUAUGUCUCACAAAAAUGUUGACCUGGGUUUUGGAACAAAAGCAGAAUUGCGUUCUGAAAAAAACUUAACACAGAAAGACAUUGAGUUAUUCAAGCAUGAAUGUUCUAAGUGCCUACAAGAACUUGUGAAGAAGAUUUUGAAUCGCUCUCCACUUACUCUCAGUUUGACUAGGAGCAUUUCAUUCAUUGACCCUUCAGUAGUUUGUAUUCCAAAUUUGGCAAAUAAGAGACUGGCAGCUGCACUAGAACAUUUUGUAUGCAAUAACUGGAUUUCUGGAGUGCAAGCUGAUAAAAUUUGUAGAGAAUUCAAGCAAGUGUGUGCUGUAAAGUUAGUGCAAGAAAAUGUGAAGAUAUACACACGCAGUAAAUUUCGCCUUGAUCAGUUUUGGUUUGAUCAGUUGAAAAUUUGUUCAUUUGAGGAAACAAAAAAUUUGGCAUCUUUCCUGAAGAUGAUUUUCAUCUUUUCACAUGGCAAUGCUGCUCUGGAAAGAGGAUUUUCUGUGAACAAGGAAUGUCUGGUGGAAAAUCAACAAGAAAUAUCUCUCGUAGCUCAAAGGAGAAUUCAUGAUAGUGUCUCUGCAGCUGGGGGAAUUGAUGAUUUCCCUGUAACAAAGCAGCUUAUACAUGCAGCUCGUAAUGCACACUCCAACUUUAAAGACUAUUUGCAAAAGCAGAAGGAGCUUUCUCAAGAAAAAGCAGAAACUAACAUCUUGAAACGUAAAAUUGCUGCUGAACUUGCAGAGGUUCAGGCAAGAAAAAAGAAAAUUUUAGAAGAUGCCCAAAAUGAAAGUGCAAUUCUUGAUUCUCGAAUAGAAGCUCUUAAAACGUAGUGCAGUGAUAAUAGACCCCAUUUUGUAGUGUUUAGGCCUACUAAAUUCAAUCAUUAUUUUCACAAAAAGACCUAAGUUUUUAAUAUUUAUGCUAUAAUUUUAUAUUUCUUUAAGAUCCAUGUCAUAUAUGUUUAUAUUCAUUUAUAUGUACGUACAGCUACAAUUUACUAUAUAGAAGUUUUUUUUAAGAUUAAUGAUGCAAUUUUGUGAAUUUGAAGACUGUGUUUGGAGACUGGAAACUGUUUUUGAGACAGGAUUUGAAGGUUAAUUGUGUAUCAUAUUCUUAUAAGCAGAACACAUCUUGACAUUUGGAUAGUUUUAUUGUGACUGAAUGUAGCACUUCAAUAAAGAGGAGGACAUCUUCACGCCUGCGACGGCCAUCGCACGGUUUCUGGAGGCGCAGGACUUGGCACGGACGGGGGGCGAGGUGUUCGUGCUGG